RNAcentral lists this ribosomal RNA (299 nucleotides) under uncultured bacterium. RNAcentral describes it as "partial 16S ribosomal RNA". It matches the Rfam family "Bacterial small subunit ribosomal RNA", at positions 338 to 635 of the family's 1533-position model. The record is from RNAcentral.
CCUACGGGACGCAGCAGUGAGGAAUAUUGGUCAAUGGGCGGGAGCCUGAACCAGCCAAGUCGCGUGAAUGAAGAAGGUCCUUAGUAUUGUAAACUUCUUUUGUCGGGGAACAAAGGCGGAGACGCGUCUCCGGAUGAGUAUACCCGAAGAAACAGCAUCGGCUAACUCCGUGCCAGCAGCCGCGGUACUACGGAGGAUGCGAGCCUUAUCCGGUUUUAUUUGGUUUAAAGGGUGCGCAGGUGGGAGAUCAUGUCAGCGGUAAAAUGUCGGGGCUCAGCCCCGGCCGGCCGUUGCAAUUG